UCAGGCCUAACACAUGCAAGUCGAGGGGUAGAACAUUUCGGUGUUUGAGACCGGCGCACGGGUGCGUAACGCGUAUGCAACCUACCUUUUACAGGGGAAUAGCCCAGAGAAAUUUGGAUUAAUGCCCCAUGGUAUAUUUAGAUGGCAUCAUCCGAUUAUUAAAGUUCCAACGGUAAAAGAUGGGCAUGCGUCCUAUUAGUUAGAUGGUAAGGUAACGGCUUACCAUGGCAACGAUAGGUAGGGGUCCUGAGAGGGAGAUCCCCCACACUGGUACUGAGACACGGACCAGACUCCUACGGGAGGCAGCAGUGAGGAAUAUUGGACAAUGGGCGCAAGCCUGAUCCGGCCAUGCCGCGUGCAGGAAGAAGCAUCUAUGGUGUUAAGGUGCUUUUGUACGGGAAGAAACACUCCUACGGUAGGAGCUGAC
Molecule: ribosomal RNA, 427 nt
Filed under: uncultured bacterium
Lineage: Bacteria
Description: bacterial SSU rRNA
Rfam family: Bacterial small subunit ribosomal RNA
Source: RNAcentral